GAAGGUAUAGCUCAGUGGUAGAGCACAAGCUUAGCAUGCUUGAGGUCCUGGGUUCAAUCUCCAGCAUCUCCA
RNAcentral lists this transfer RNA (72 nucleotides) under Camelus bactrianus (Bactrian camel). It matches the Rfam family "tRNA". From Rfam's summary of the family: Transfer RNA (tRNA) molecules are approximately 80 nucleotides in length. Their secondary structure includes four short double-helical elements and three loops (D, anti-codon, and T loops). RNAcentral also lists the same sequence under 2 other names. Lineage: Eukaryota; Metazoa; Chordata; Mammalia; Artiodactyla; Camelidae. The record is from Rfam by way of RNAcentral.